This 1019-nucleotide long non-coding RNA is filed under the name Gallus gallus (chicken). Its description in RNAcentral is "long non-coding RNA NONGGAT001299". Lineage: Eukaryota; Metazoa; Chordata; Aves; Galliformes; Phasianidae. The record is from RNAcentral.
CCAAAUUCGGCCGCACUGUGUGUCCUGUGACAUAAUGUGCUUUCUCUUCUGAUGGAAUCAGUAGAAAUUCUGGAACCCACAAACAUCCUGAAUGACCGAGUGUUCUUGUUAUACAUCAGAGUGCCCUGACAAAUGAGGCAGUCCCCCAAAAAUGUGGGGAGCGCUUUGCCAACUGACGUGUCACCAGCUAUGGGGACAGUCUGAAAGGCACGAUUCAUUUCACACGGAGGAGCACGCAUUGUAGAGCACUGAGCAUCUGUGCUCUGCUUCUCCCUGGCCUUGUGAAUUUAAAGAGUGACCUAGCUGGAAAACUGAAGAGCUACCAGGCAGGGCAGCCUCAUCUCCACAGCAAAAUAAUGGUUAUCUGCCAGGAGAGCGGCUAAGAGUUUCAAUCCAUUCAGAAGAGGAAGGAGUAGCAGCAAAAUUUAACAAAAAUGUUAAUAAUAAAAGAAUCCUCCAUUUUUAACACGGUUAGACACAUAACAAAGCAAGCAAGCAAACUUACAAACCUCACAACAAAGCCAAAAGAAAGAUGGGAAAUAACAUCUAAACAAAAUUUCCAUAGGACAAUUGGCAUUCACCUAUAUGCUGCUUUCUGCAAUUCUGUCAGCUCCAAUAUCUUUGCUCGAACACAAGCACGUGUGCAUAUGCACACAGAUCUGAAACUGCUUCAAGCAGAUCAACUUGAGUUGAUGUGAGUUGGCUUUUGCUGAUCAACCUCAACUUCUUGCUAUAUUGCCUAUCUGCCCCAAAAUCUCUUGCUGUAUUGUCUAACUGCCCAAACCAUAAAGUGAUCCUACAGCCAAGAGAGUUUACUGUUCCUCCUGUAGGUGAGGGGUGGGUGUUUCAUGUGGGAAGUGUCAGCAUUUAGCAAAGACAAGAAAAAUCCAUCAGCACCAAGGCAGUGAAGAGACGGAAUCCCAGUGGCUUUGUGAAUGAACAAAAUGCAUGCUAAGUAGGCUACAUGAGCAGAGGAACAAGUGGGCAAGAGUGGAUGGUAGAAUAUCUAAAACCUGAAC